GGCUUGUUGGAUGUUUAUGACAAGUCGGGCCUGCUCGGUGUUUUAAUUAACAGCCGCGGUAACUUGACUGUGCAAAGGUAGCAUAAUCAUUAGUUUUUUAAUUGGAAGCUGGAAUGAAGGGUUUGACGGGGACGAGCUGUCUCGGUUGUAUGUUUCGAAUUUUAGUUUACUGUGAAGACGCAGUGCUGUGUGUAUUUGACGAGAAGACCCCAUAAAGCUUAUAAGGCAGUUUGCUUUUGUGGGUUAGUUUUAUUUUGUUGGGGCAACAGGCAUGAUUUGAUAAUGGUUUUUUUAUGUGUAUAUUUUUAUAGUCGUGGAUUUGAUCCUUUAUUUAUUGAUAGUAAGAUAAGCUACUUUGGGGAUAACAGCGUAAUUACACUGGAGAGUUCUUAUUGAUAGUGUAGUUUGCGACCUCGAUGUUGAAUUAAGAUACCAUAUGGCUGUAGCGGGCUAAGGGGGAGGUCUGUUCGACCUUUAAAUUCUUACA
RNAcentral lists this ribosomal RNA (487 nucleotides) under Arctogeophilus glacialis. RNAcentral's name for it is "partial large subunit ribosomal RNA". It matches the Rfam family "Bacterial large subunit ribosomal RNA", at positions 1829 to 2600 of the family's 2925-position model. Lineage: Eukaryota; Metazoa; Arthropoda; Chilopoda; Geophilomorpha; Geophilidae. The record is from RNAcentral.